AGUGAACGCUGGCGGUAGGCCUAACACAUGCAAGUCGAACGGUAGCACAGGCGAGCUUGCUCUCUGGGUGGCGAGUGGCGGACGGGUGAGGAAUACAUCGGAAUCUACUUUUUCGUGGGGGAUAACGUAGGGAAACUUACGCUAAUACCGCAUAAGUCCUACGGGUGAAAGCAGGGGACCUUCGGGACUUGCGGGAAUGAAUGAGCCGAUGUCGGAUUAGCUAGUUGGCGGGGUAAGGGCCCACCAAGGCGACGAUACGUAGCUGGUCUGAGAGGAUGAGCAGCCACACUGGAACUGAGACACGGACCAGACUCCUACGGGAGGCAGCAGUGGGGAAUAUUGGACAAUGGGCGCAAGCCUGAUCCAGCCAUACCGCGUGGGUGAAGAAGGCCUUCGGGUUGUAAAGCCCUUUUGUUGGGAAAGAAAUCCAGCUGGCUAAUACCCGGUUGGGAUGACGGUACCCAAAGAAUAAGCACCGGCUAACUUCGUGCCAGCCGCCGCAGUAA
RNAcentral lists this ribosomal RNA (506 nucleotides) under uncultured bacterium. RNAcentral describes it as "partial 16S ribosomal RNA". It matches the Rfam family "Bacterial small subunit ribosomal RNA", at positions 29 to 523 of the family's 1533-position model. The record is from RNAcentral.